Molecule: unclassified non-coding RNA, 296 nt
Filed under: Hevea brasiliensis (rubber tree)
Lineage: Eukaryota; Viridiplantae; Streptophyta; Magnoliopsida; Malpighiales; Euphorbiaceae
Source: RNAcentral
AACGAACCCUCAAUCUCCAAUUUGUACUCCUCGAGGCAACUAUUCCGUAGAUCAGAGAUCACAAGGAGUCCAUCAUACCUUUAACCCUCUUGGAAACCCUGGGCAAAAUAGUCCUUUUGGCAUACCACAAAGAGGUUCCCCUAGUGCAUGGAAUAACUCUUUCGACACACCUAAAAACUACCUUCCACCUAAUUCUUCAAUGGGUGGUAACUUUGCCAGUCCUGGCAUUCAACGAGGUGGAAGACCUGGUUUCCAUUAUGGACAAGGUAGCGGGCAACCUGGUUCAGGAUAUGGAG